Hibiscus syriacus is the source of this 300-nucleotide long non-coding RNA. RefSeq lists it as uncharacterized. The record is from RefSeq and is a predicted model, not a curated record. NCBI's taxonomy places the organism in Eukaryota, Viridiplantae, Streptophyta, Magnoliopsida, Malvales, Malvaceae. The transcript is spliced from 3 exons.
UAUAGAAAAUGAAGGAGGUUGCAGAAGAUCACUGGAAGGAAGUUUUCCCAGAACAAAUGUGUUAUGGUUGAUAUACUUGGUGGACAUACUGCUACUGAAGAAAACAUAUGUACGUUCUUCAAAGAAUGAGAGAGACAUGCGGUCUUUGAAAAAGCGUCUGGACAAAUAUGAUUCAGCUAAAGAAGCUAUUUUCGAUCCCUUCUUCGAGGACCUUCUUGUGAAUGAUUAAUGCUUUUGAGGGUUCGAAUGAAUGAUUCCAAAUAUUGUGUUUGUAAUGGGAAAAGGAUAGCCGGGUCCUGG